Molecule: ribosomal RNA, 491 nt
Filed under: uncultured bacterium
Lineage: Bacteria
Description: partial 16S ribosomal RNA
Rfam family: Bacterial small subunit ribosomal RNA
Source: RNAcentral
AGUGAACGCUGGCGGUAGGCCUAACACAUGCAAGUCGAACGGCAGCACAGUAAGAGCUUGCUCUUACGGGUGGCGAGUGGCGGACGGGUGAGGAAUACAUCGGAAUCUACUUUUUCGUGGGGGAUAACGUAGGGAAACUUACGCUAAUACCGCAUACGACCUACGGGUGAAAGCAGGGGAUCUUCCGACCUUGCGCGAUUGAAUGAGCCGAUGUCGGAUUAGCUAGUUGGCGGGGUAAAGGCCCACCAAGGCGACGAUCCGUAGCUGGUCUGAGAGGAUGAGCAGCCAAACUGGAACUGAGAAACGGUCCAGACUCCUACGGGAGGCAGCAGUGGGGAAUAUUGGACAAUGGGCGCAAGCCUGAUCCAGCAUACCGCGUGGGUGAAGAAGGCCUUCGGGUUGUAAAGCCCUUUUGUUGGGAAAGAAAAGCAGCAGGUUAAUACCCCGCUGUUCUGACGGUACCCAAAGAAUAAGCACCGGCUAACUUCGUG